RNAcentral lists this long non-coding RNA (7791 nucleotides) under Lactuca sativa (garden lettuce). Its description in RNAcentral is "long non-coding RNA (LSAT_LNC008207)". Lineage: Eukaryota; Viridiplantae; Streptophyta; Magnoliopsida; Asterales; Asteraceae. The record is from RNAcentral.
GAAGCGGAACUUCCCGAAAUACCAGCAAGAUGUGAAGGAUUGGAAAGUUAAACCCAACCAUGCAGGUAUUUACACUAUCAUUUCUAAUAACUCACCCCAUUCUAAAUCUUGGGUCCUUGAUACCGGUUGUGGUAUUCAUAUUUGUUGUGACUUGCAGGGACUAAGAAGAAGUGAGAAUGUGGAGCAAGGAAGAAUAAACUUGAUCAUGGGGAAUAGGAAAGCUUUACCUGUUACCAAGAUUGGAGUUUAUACUUUAUCGCUAAGUAGUGGGUUUAAUUUAGAUUUGAAUAAAUGUUGUUAUUCGCCAGGAAUGGCAAGAAAUAUUAUUUCCUUUCAUGCUUUGUACAAACAAGGGUUUACCUUUUCAUUUAAUAAUGAAGUUGGUUCUAUAGAUGUUUUCUAUAAUAAUGUUUUUUAUUUUAAAGCAUUACCUUGUGAUGGUGUGUAUGAAGCUGUAUCUGUUGUAGAUAACUUGGGAAAUAAUGUUUUGUGUAUUGAUUCUACUAAUAAUAAUAACUUGGAUAAAGCAUCAUUAUGGCAUUGUCGUCUUGGACAUAUAAGCAAGAAACGCAUAGGCCAACUCCAAAAGGAUGGAGUCUUGGAGUCGUUUGACCUAAAGUCAGAUGAUAGUUGCGAAUCAUGCUUACUUGGAAAAAUGACAAAGUCACCCUUCACAGGCUCGUGUGAGAGGGGUGAAGGUUUGUUGGACCUUAUACACACGGAUGUGUGUGGACCAUUCAAACAUGCCACAAGGGAUGCUAAUCGUUAUUAUUUGACUUUUACUGAUGAUUAUAGUAGAUAUGGAUAUGUCUACUUGAUCAAGCAUAAGUCAGAGACUUUCGAGAGGUUUAAGGAAUUUAAACAGGAAGUCGAGAAUCAAUUGGGCAGGAACAUUAAGAUGCUUCGAUCCGAUCGUGGUGGUGAGUAUCUUAGUUCAGAGUUCCUCGACUAUCUAAGGGAAUGUGGGAUAGUCUCACAAUUGACACCUCCCAGGACACCACAGUUGAAUGGUGUGGCUGAGAGGCGUAAUCGAACCUUGUUGGAUAUGGUUCGUUCCAUGAUGAGUCGAGCUACGCUACCAAUCUCAUUCUGGGGGUAUGCCUUAGAGACUGCCGCCCAUAUUCUUAAUCUAGUCCCUACAAAGAAAGUUGCCAAAACUCCUCACGAGAUGUGGACUGGUAAAGUACCUAAACUAGACCACAUCAAGAUUUGGGGUUGCGAGGCUUUCGUGAGACGCGAGACUCAUGAUAAGCUCGAACCUCGAAGCGAGAGGUGUAUUUUCAUCGGUUACCCACAGCGAUCCUUUGGUUACCUCUUCUACAGACCUAGUGACAAUGUGGUCUUUGUAGCAAGAAGAGGAGUCUUUCGAGAAAGAGAGUUUAUAAGCCAAGGAGACAGUGGGAGGCAAAUUGAUCUUGAAGAAAUUCAAGAAUCAAGCGGUGAAGGAACUUCAAACUCUAGCCCUCAACUUGAGGAGGAAACUCCUGUUGAGCCAAUUGACAAAUCUGUACCUCUGAGACGUUCCACGAGAGUUAGGAGUGCACCUGAGCAUUACUAUGGAUUCCAUAUUACUGCAGAAGGUGAGACACUUAUUAGUGAUGAGACACUAGUAAGUCAAGAUGACCCUAACAGCUACGAGGAAGCCAUGGCAGGCCCCGAGUCUGCUAAAUGGAAAGAGGCUAUGGAUAGCGAGAUACAAUCCAUGUAUGACAAUCAAGUUUGGAACUUGGUUGAAAAUGUACCAGGUCGUAAGACAGUAGGGUGCAAAUGGGUCUUCAAGAAGAAGACCGACAUGGAUGGUAAAGUACACACUUAUAAGGCUAGACUGGUUGCAAAGGGCUUCUCUCAAAUUCCUGGAGUGGAUUAUGAUGAGACCUUUUCUCCGGUAGCCAAGAUUAAGUCUAUUCGGGUUCUGUUAGCCAUAGCUGCAUUUCAUGACUAUGAAAUAUGGCAGAUGGAUGUCAAAACCGCUUUCCUUAAUGGAAAGUUGGCUGAAGAUGUUUACAUGAGUCAGCCAGAGGGUUUUGUCAGCAACGAGUACCCUAAUAGAGUGUGUAAGCUUGAGAAAUCCAUUUAUGGAUUGAAGCAAGCACCUCGCAGAUGGAAUCUUUGCUUUGAUGAAAAGGUCAAGGAAUUUGGCUUUUCUAGGAGUGAAGAUGAAUCUUGUGUGUAUGUCAAGGCUAGUGGGAGUAUAGUUAGCUUUUUGGUAUUGUAUGUGGAUGACAUACUACUCAUAGGAAACGACAUUCCAACCCUGCAGGAAGUAAAGUCCUGGCUUGGGAAGUGUUUCGCUAUGAAGGACCUUGGUGAAGCUGCCUAUAUUCUAGGGAUAAGAAUCUUGAGAGAUCGGAGUAAAAGACUAAUUGGACUUAGUCAGAGUACCUACUUGGAUAAGGUGCUGAAGAGAUUCAGCAUGCAGGAUUCCAAGAAAGGAGAGUUACCCAUCCAGAGUAACACCAGAUUGAGUAAGACACAAAGCCCUAGCACUGAGGCUGAGAUAGCAGAAAUGAGUCGAACACCUUACGCUUCGGCUGUAGGAUCGAUCAUGUAUGCUAUGACGUGUACUCGACCCGAUGUAGCUUUUGCCUUGAGCAUGGUUAGCAGGUAUCAGGCGAACCCUGGCAAGGCACACUGGACUGCGGUAAAGAAUAUCCUCAAGUACCUACGGAGGACUAAGGACUGGGUCCUUACCCUCGGUGGGAGUGAUGACUUGAGAGUUGUAGGGUAUAGUGAUGCUAGCUUCCAGACUGAUAGGGAUAAUUUCCGCUCUCAGUCGGGCUGGGUCUUUACCCUAAACGGAGGAGCAAUUUCUUGGAAGAGUUCCAAGCAAGAGACAGUGGCAGAUUCUACUUGUGAAUCAGAGUAUAUUGCAGCUAGCGAAGCAGCAAAGGAGGCGAUAUGGCUGAAGAACUUCAUUGGAGACCUUGGAGUUGUACCAGCUAUUAAAGAGCCAAUGGAAAUUUUCUGUGAUAGUGAAAGUGCUGUUGCCUUAGCCAAGGAACCAAGGGAUCAUGGGAGAUCCAGACACAUCGACAGAAAAUACCAUUUCAUUAGACAUCGGAUCGAAGAAGGACUCCUCGUGGCAAAGAGGGUAUCAUCGGAUGAGAACCCAGCAGAUCCCCUCACGAAGGGACUGAGUAGGGUUAAGCAUCUCCAGCAUGCUCGGAGCAUAGGGCUGAAGGAUGAUAUAAGUUUUAGUAGUUAGAUAACCCAGAAAUUUGUAAAGUGUAAUUGACAUUUGAUGAUGAAUAAAAGGUGUUUUAUUUAUGAGUAAAGUGUUGCUAUCUCUUGUCAAUCGUUUACUAUAUUUCUUUUGCAUGUUUUGACUUCCAGAAUAAUUUUGUUUGGUGUAACAUAUUAUUCAAACCUCCACAGUCGGUCAUAUGUCGGAAGUAGGUAUGAAUCAAGACUGUCAUGAUGGGUUGUAGAGGUCUAAGGUGUUGGACAAGGCUACAACAAUCAUGAGUGCUCAUAAGUUCUGAGCAUUGGACUCAACCCACGCUCACUGGAAUCACUUCAUGGAAUUCUAUCUCGAGUGAUCGUGAGACGGUAAUAUCAUAUAAGUCUUCAAACCUAGAGAUAUGAUUUGUUACUUACAAGUUGGUUAUGCAUUGACUGUACGAAACCGCAUUGGUAACUCGAUGUUAUAAAACGUACUUUUGUGUGUAAUUCAAUGAGUGGUAGAACAAACAUAUGAGUCGAAGUUUAUCUGUUCCUUCUUGGAUUAGAAGCUGAUAUCUGGGCCCCUCGAUGAUUUUGUUUUGACCCAUGUACCGGGCCCGGUCAGAACUAAGUUGAUGUGUUCAAUUAAGUUCUAUGUCAAACAAAUCGGAAAUCGGGAAACAAAUGCUGGACAAUAAGCAAGACAAUGUUCCAUGUAUUUGUCCGGCUGAUAUCUAGAACGGAGGAUUAUAUGAUCACUUAUCUUAAAUGGCGUACCAUCAUCUUCUCAGUUCCGAGAGACCUUGAAAGAGCUACGAUUGCCGGUCGGUUCCUGAAGUACUAGAGAUAUAGUUAUUAGACUUAUCCAAGUGGGAGACUGUUGGAUAAGGUGUCUAAGUCCAUAACUAUUUCGGGCUUGUACUUGACCCGACCCGGCAUGGUCCAUUUGGGUUGCAUGGCACCAUGCAAUUGGAUAGACUAAAUGAGAGAAAUAACACUUGGAGAUUAUUAAUAUAUUAUAAGUUCUAAUAUAUUAAUAAUAUUAUUUGAUUAGUUGAUCAAAGAAUUAAUUUGGAAUUAAUUAAGUGAUCAAAGGAUAACUAAUUAAAUAUAUGGGUUGAUUAUGUAAAUCAUCCAUAUCUUGUAUAGUGGGCUAAGAGGCUCCAUGGAUUAUCAAGUUGGGUUCUACCCAUAGGAUGCUCCAUGGAUGCUCCAUGGGAGUUACAAACCCAUGGGUCAUGGAAAUGAAGAGUCAUGACACAUUAGGGUUUACAUGGUGUAACCCUAGAUGUGUCAACACUAUAUAAGAAUCAUAUUCUCCACCAAAAUCGGCUACACUAAGAAACUAGAGGGCUUGGCCGAUUUUGAGAAGUGUGUGUUAUCUCAAGAGUCUUUCCAAGAGCAUUUGGUGUUGUGUGAAGCAUUUGAGGCAUCACACUUGGGGUGCUAGGCUCACAAGGUUUCAAGGAACACAAGCAACAACAAGGUAAGUUAUUCUAUCUAUGAUUCAAGUUAAAAUUGUUCCCCAUGUAUGCUAGAUAGGAAUAUAACCUUGGAAUUCAACUUUGCAUGAUAAUUAGACAAACAUAGAUCCAAGGUUAUUAGGGUUGCAUGUACACUUAGGAAGUGUUAGAAUGCUCAAAACCCAUCAGUGGUAUCAGAGCCUAGGCUUGUUUGUUUGUUAUUUGUGCUUAAAAGUUGAAGAAAGUCGAAAAUCUUGCUGUCUGACUGAUGGACUCGGCGAGUCCAUGGGGAGGACUCGUCGAGUUCAUGUGUAUCUUCAACCUACUCGGCGAGUAGGUUUAUGCACUCGGCGAGUAGGGUCGACAGAGUGCAGAAUUUCGACUUGAGUUGCUGGAAAUGGAUUAGAAUCAUUACCCUAAAAUGUUUUGGUACUUGAAAACUUAUUUUAGAAGGUGUAAUGUCUUUUCUAACUCAUUUACAACAACUAGUUAUCAAAAUUACAAAGAUUAAAUGUGAUUUUGAUUCUUGAAAGUGUUCAUAUUCAUAUUCUUGUUCUUAUGAUGUUUAGAUGAUCAUAGGAAUUAUUUGUAACCUAUGUGGUAGAUUAAUUCAUGAUCAUAAUGUGUUUUAAUGGAGUCCAUAACUUGUCCUCAAGUUAUGGAAAACCAAAAGUCUCUUGGAUUAAAAACCAUUAAAAGAACACAAGAGUUAGGAAAAAUGAAAAGUCCUCAUUUUAUUACUCUAUUAAACUCAUAAGUUACAAGAAAUGAAAAGUUUUGAAAGUUUACAAAACUUGCCCUCAAGUUUUGGAACAAGUAAAGUUAAGUUAAAACUUUAGUUCCAACCCCUAGAAUUUUAAAAGUUAAAAUUCAACCCUUAUACUUAUAUUAUUAUGAUUUAAUAAUUAUAUAUAUAUGUAUAAGAACAAAGUCGUCUUACCGCUAGUACGCCUCAUUCACGAAGCCGGUCUAUAAGGUGGGUAUAAGGUUGUUGCCUAUAAAAUGGUGACUUAAUGGGUGUCCACUCUCACCCACCGCUUGCUUGAUCGGUGGAGGGUCGUUAGCCGAACGGGUAAGACAAGGACUUAUUAAUUCUCAUUCAAAGUAUGAUGAAUAUUAUAAAGUAACUAAAUGUUUUAUUAAAUUCCCAAUCUUAGUUACUUUAGGAAAAAUGUGAAUAAGGUGCUAUUCCAUGAAAUUACACUUUACACUUUGAUUAAGUCGUUGGUGGAGCGUGUGUGGUUAACCGGCACACUAACUUGGACUUAACAAGGUAGGUAAAGGGUGACUUAGGGUUUAUUAUAGUAUCGAUGGAGCGUGUGUGGUUAACCGGCACAUCGAUUGAGUGAUAAACUUUAAGGGUACCAAGUGAUUUGCAUGGUUACUUCACACCUCGUUUUGUGAUCCUCGGUAUCCCAGUCACAAAACUUGGAGGGCACACUCGAGAUUGAAACAUGCCUUUGAAAAGUUCAUUGAAUCUCAAAGAAUCUAGGAAUUUCUAAGAACCAUUCAAAAACCUAAUACUAAAAUAUUGCGGUUUUCGUGGUGGAAAUUGGUGAAUCGUCAUUCACCUACCUUUCAAAUAUGAUAUAGCUUAGAUUACGGCAUACCUCUUCUAAGUUAUAUUAUAUUGUGAUUGGAUCCUAGCCUUAAUAUUACAUUUGGGUGUUUUAUUAAGGACUCUCUUAUAUCUAAACUAAUCUUGUCCUCUUUCCUUCAGAUGUCUUUCAACAAUGCUUCUGGCUCUAAUCCUAAUGGCUCCUUUACCCUUAUGAACUUGUGUGGGAAAGUCACCUUUGAUGGAUCCAACUUCAAUGAGUGGAUCAGAAACAUCAGGAUGAUUACCCGCUACGAGGACAAAGAAUAUGUCCUUGACAAGGAGCUUAAGGAGAUUGAUGAGUCCACUGCAACUCCUCAGGAGAUCGCUGAAUUUCGGGCACAUGAAAGGGAUGCUACGAAAGUGGCUUGCAUCAUGAUGGCCACGAUGACAGCGGAACUCCAAAAGUCUUAUGAGGAUUUCUACCCUUAUGAAAUGCACCAAGAUUUGAUGGAAAGAUACCAUCAAAGUGCAAGACAAGAGAGGUAUGAAAUCAUCUGCUCCAUGAUAACAACCAUGAUGAAGGACGGGGAAUCCGUCACGAGCCACAUGCAGAAAAUGCAAAGGUAUGUGGAUCGUUUGCUGAAGCUUAAUGUGAACUUCCCGGAGGAUCUUGCAAUAGAUAUUAUUUUGCAUUCCUUACCAUCGUGCUAUGAUCAAUUCCGCAUGACAUAUCACAUGAACAAGGAAGAAGUCACCCUCAGCAAACUUCAGGGACUUCUCAAGACCGCAGAAUCAGGUCUUAAGGGGAAGUCGGUUGCUAUCACUCCUACUCAAAACUCUACUCCGGUUUUGGCAAUCGGGAAAAGUCGAGGGAGGAAGAGAAAGAGCUCUUCUAAGGGUACCAAGGUUCGGACCCUUGAUGGCUCUUCUUCAAGUGGAACCAAGAAAGGUUUCAUUACUCCUUCUUCUGACCCAAAAGAGGCUGAAUGCUUCUAUUGCCAUGAAAAAGCUCAUUGGAAGCGGAACUGCCCAAAAUACCAGCAAGAUGUGAAGGAUGGGAAAGUUAAACCCAACCAUGCAGGUAUUUACACUAUCAUUUCUAAUAACUCACCCCAUUCUAAUUCUUGGGUCCUUGAUACCGGGUGUGGUAUUCACAUUUGUUGUGACUUGCAGGGACUAAGAAGAAGUGAGGAUGUGGAGCAAGGAAGGAUAAACUUGAUCAUGGGGAAUAGGAAAGCUAUACCUGUUACCAAGAUUGGAGUUUAUACUUUAUCGCUAAGUAGUGGGUUUAGUUUAGAUUUGAAUAAGUGUUGUUAUUCGCCAGGAAUGGCAAGAAAUAUUAUUUCCUUUCAUGCUUUGUACAAACAAGGGUUUACCUUUUCAUUUAAUAAUGAAGUUGGUUCUAUAGAUGUUUUCUAUAAUAAUGUCUUUUAUUUUAAAGCAUUACCUUGUGAUGGUGUGUAUGAAGCUGUAUCUGUUGUAGAUAACUUGGGAAAUAAUGUUUUGUGUAUUGAUUCUACUAAUAAUAACUUGGAUAAAGCAUCUUUAUGGCAUUGUCGUCUUGGACAUAUAAGCAAGAAACGCAUAGGCCAACUCCAAAAGGAUGGAGUCUUGGAGUCGUUUGAC